Epinephelus fuscoguttatus (brown-marbled grouper) is the source of this 2424-nucleotide long non-coding RNA. RefSeq lists it as uncharacterized. The transcript is spliced from 4 exons. NCBI's taxonomy places the organism in Eukaryota, Metazoa, Chordata, Actinopteri, Perciformes, Serranidae. The record is from RefSeq and is a predicted model, not a curated record.
CCCACAGAUUUGCAGGGCUGCACCUCUUCCUCUGAAUGUUUUUGAAUCAUAUGGUCUGAGACAAAGCACAGCAAACACACUCUGACAAAAAAAAGACGUGACCUGGAGCGUGUCAAACUGUUGUUUCCUGGAUCUGGAGACGAGAAAAGCUACCGAAGUUUGUUUUGAACUGCUAAGGGACUACAGAUGCAAAUUAGCCUUAAGCCGUGGUUCCCAACUGGCCUCCGUCCUGCAUCAGCUCAAAGGCAAACGCCACAUUAUGGACCUGAGGGGACACAACAAGGACACUCAGCGUACUGAUAAGGGCUGGGUUGUCGGGGCAGCAGGUCAAGCAAAGCACCCCAGACGUCCCUUUUCCCAGUGACGCUCCCAGGCCAGAUGAGAUAUGUAAUCCCUCCAGCAUGCUCUGGGUCUGGCCUGGGGCCUCCUACCAGUCUGGCCAUCCUCCUCUGACCUCUGGCAUCAACAAGGUACUCUCACCCAGAGAACUGCUGCUCCAUCCUCUAUAAACCCUAGAGAUGGUUGUGUGUGAAAAUCCCAGUAGAUCAGCAGUUAAUAAAAUACGUAAACCAGCCCGUCUGGCACCAACAACCAUGCCACGCUCACUUAAAUCACCUUUCUUUCUCAUUCUGAUGCUCGGUUUGAAUUUCAGCAGGUCGUCUUGACCAGCUGCCACAUGAUUGGCCAAUUAGUCACUGCGUUAACGAGAAGCUGAACAGGUGUACCUAAUAAAGUGGACAGUAAGUGUAUAUGUAUAUAUUCUUGUAUUUAUCCUCAUUUUCUUUCAAAUGUCAAGAUUAUUUACUACAUGGAAUAAAAUUAAACCCCUUUAAUGUCACUGUACAAAGAGAUUAGUGCUACAUCUGAUCAGGUGCCAACUAGUCAAUAAACAGCUAACGUAAUCAUACAUAAAAUCGGAAAUAGCAUAAAAAAAUACAAGGAAAAAAAUAGGCUGGAUGAAGCUUUUCUCUGUAUGUCUGUAAGCAUCAUAGCAUCGCACGUUUACAGACCUUAAUGGACUCAACAUACUCAAAAAGUCAAAUUAAUAUAAAUAAAUUUACCUUUUCUAUCUCAUACUUUGCACUCUGAAAAGGGACAACUCAAAGACUAUAAUUUAUUGGCAACUAUUAAUCAGAUAGUCAGAUUGUCAAUCACUAAAUUAGGUAGAAUAAUUUGACUCCCAAUUCCACAUUAUAAAGUAUAUUCCAUCUGUUUACGCCUCAUGAUGUACCACACUGUGCUGAGAAGAUGUUAUGUAAGGAGUGCGCUGUCAUCAAGUUGUGAGUUGCAGAAUCUUCAGUUGGUGAAAAAUGUUUAUCCAGUGAUUUUGAGCUGCAAACUGCUCUGUCACACGUCUGUAACUUCCUAAAUUUUUCUCCACCCAUGUGACGCUCUGUCUUUUCCACUACAGAUUGCAUUACAGCGCAGAAGUGUCCAUCAAAAGUUAUUAUACUUUGCAUACUGGCACUUUAUAGUGUAUUUCAUUUAGAAUGAGAAUUUAGUCUCAAACUGUGGACACUAAAGCUGAUUCAAGGUGACAACAAGACACAAAAAGUAACAAACACUGAUACACACUUUGAGAAAGGCUUUCAGUGCAAUCAAUUUCCACUGAGAGGCGUUCACUUCUGACUGCAGAGACACUCCAGGGAUUAAAAGGCUUUUUCUUCUUAAUGGCCACGCUGCUUUUAUCAUCCAGCAUUUCAAUUUGUACGACCUGCAACACGCCGGACUGCAAUCAAUGGUCUCAAAUCUGUCAUUUCAUUGACUCUGCUAUUCAGAGUGGCUGCACUUUGAGCUCCUUUUUUAAAUUAAAUGCAUUUUUCUGAUUGAAAAUAUAAUAAAGGGAAGUCUAGAGCUGUGUGUUUGUGAUACAAUCUGGAGAAAAUCUCAACUUCAAAGCCAGUGCAAAGAGAGGAUGUUCAGAAUAACCCCGGGGAGGAGAGGUCCCCAUAGAUUUCCUAUCUGAUUCAGCCCUCUCAUAAGAGCUGAAUCUCACUACAGAUCAGCACUUUGCUUUGUAAUUACAGAGCAAGCACGCUGCAUUUCAUCAUAAUUGUGCUGCUUCCUCCCUCUGCGUCUAUCUGACUGCAUUACUGCUGCUGGCACUUCACACAGUCAAGUGAAAAGUGAGUGAAAAAUGGUCACAUUAUACCGUAUAAUUAAUUUGCUAGAGCAGCUUUAUGCAGAAUGAUUUAUGGAAAUAAAAACAUUCACACUCGUAGAUCCAGAAAUACAACAGCAACCCUCACACUCAAUUCUGUUAAGUUAAAGAGACAUUUCACAGUGACUACUUACAUCUCGAUGACCUCUUACAACAACCGACACAACACAUUGCUGGAUAUUAACCUGCAGUUGCACUAAGGUAACAGGUCCUGCUUCCCCAUUUCCACUUCCAAGUUCCUCAAAGCCCAAAAUCAGAACCAC